AUACGAAGGGUGCAAGCGUUACUCGGAAUUACUGGGCGUAAAGCGUGCGUAGGUGGUUUGUUAAGUCUGAUGUGAAAACCCUGGGCUUAACCUGGGACGUGCAGUUUUGACUGCUUUUCUUGAAUGUCUGAGAGGUUAGUGGAAUUACAGGUGUAGGAGUGAAAUCCGUAGAUAUCUGUAGGAACACCGGAGGCGAAGGCGGCUAACUGGUGGAGCAUUGACGCUGAGGCGCGAAAGCGCGGGUAGCA
This 248-nucleotide ribosomal RNA is filed under the name uncultured bacterium. Its description in RNAcentral is "partial 16S ribosomal RNA". It matches the Rfam family "Bacterial small subunit ribosomal RNA", at positions 523 to 770 of the family's 1533-position model. The record is from RNAcentral.